This 371-nucleotide ribosomal RNA is filed under the name uncultured bacterium. Its description in RNAcentral is "bacterial SSU rRNA". It matches the Rfam family "Bacterial small subunit ribosomal RNA", at positions 527 to 896 of the family's 1533-position model. The record is from RNAcentral.
GGGGGGGGCAAGCGUUGUUCGGAAUUACUGGGCGUAAAGGGCUCGUAGGCGGCCAACUAAGUCGGAUGUGAAAUCCCCAGGCUCAACCUGGGAACUGCAUCCGAUACUGGAUGGCUUGAAUUCGGGAGAGGGAUGCAGAAUUCCAGGUGUAGCGGUGAAAUGCGUAGAUAUCUGGAGGAAUACCGGUGGCGAAGGCGGCAUCCUGGACCGACAUUGACGCUGAUGAGCGAAAGCUAGGGGAGCNNNNNNNAUUAGAUACCCCGGUAGUCCUAGCCCUAAACGAUGAAUGCUUGGUGUAACGGGUAUCGAUCCCUGUUGUGCCGAAGCUAACGCAUUAAGCAUUCCGCCUGGGGAGUACGGUCGCAAGGCUG